UGCCCUGGAGCCUCCCAGCCCUUCUCACCAGUAGGUGGCUGUGGGUCUCCCGGCUCUCUGUGAGUGAGUGAAGAACUUCUGGAGGCGGCUUGCUGUCCGGGGACAACUGGAGAGGAGCACAAGCCCAGAGGCCUCCCUGGAGAAAGGAGACAAAUCACAGAAGUUAAAAUCCCCUGGGAUCACCCGCAAAAAAAGGAGACCCUGAGAAGAAACACGGACCUGCUGAAGGCUGAAGAGAAACAUCUGGACUACAACAGAGACCUCCUCCUGAGAAACAAAUCCCUACCAUCGCUGUUUUAUUAACAGUACCGAUCACUACCUGAAUAAAGACGGAGGGACAGGACACAACCUACUUUGCUGACAGCAGACCUCUCCUCCACUGGCCCAGCUUGGCCCCAGGAAGGGCCAUUCCCCGACUUGGACUGGCCCCUGGCCCUGCUUGAGGCUUGAGCUCCCUUACUCUUUGGAAUUUUCCCUCCACACGCCCCAGCCUCAUCAAAGUCUGCCCUCUACUGUUCACUGCCUAAAACUGAUGUGACUCCGUUAAUCUCCAAGCUUCCCGAAGGAAAGAAAGAAACCUAAUUUUCCCUAGGCUGAGAGGGCCCAGUGCAAAGAAACAGUGAUCAGCCAUUUAAGACUCACAUGUGAAACUCAGAUUGUCAGGAGGAAGGUAAGUUGGGACAAAUUCCAAACUUGAGCCACCUCCAGACCAACUCAGUUUAUGACUAACUUCAGAAGAAGAGCAAGGAGGCCACAGCCUCAGCAAGAGUUGAAAGGGAAUAGUUUAUCUGCUGAUGUAAACAUCAUGCCUCAUGCCAAAGGCCCACCCCAUGGACCCAGGACAGCACUGAGCCAGCCCUCCAGCAGUAAAUGCAAGAGCAGGAAAGCCCAGAAUAGAAAUGUUCUUUGCUAGCUCUGGCAGCUUCUCCUACACAUGGCUGCAAGGUAUGGGUUGGCUGCAGGGAAUGGGUCAGCUGCCAGAAAUAACCCUUUACACUUUAACUUUGGUAACACAGGCCUUUGUCUUAGUAUUUAAUAAACCCAGGUAGGUCUUAUAGUUAGUAAAAAAUGACACGUAUUUGAAUCUGAGAGACAGACUAAAGCACAUUCACCUAAAAACUUAGCCUUUCAUGCUUGUCUUGUUUGAGUUGCCUGACACUGAAAAAUGCCACCUUCACUGAGAAACUAAUACUUUGUGGCUACCCAAGAGUGCAUUUUGAAAUCCUAAGAUUGAGCAUUCUGAACACGAAAGAAAAACUGUGUAGCAAGGGAGGAAGGCUUCGAUGGAGAGUUACAUUGCAGAUUGACUAGUCUUGUCCCACUUACACACUUAACAGAUUGUAAUAAAAUAUAACAUUGAGAAGUUAGAAGAGUGCCUUCAUCCCACCCUCCCAAUCAAAGCCCUUCUUUUUUAAAAAAUUUUUUAAAAAUUGAAGUAUAGUUGAUUUCAAGGUGGCUCAGUGGUAAAGAAAUCUGGUUGCCAAUGCAAGAGACACAGGUUCCAUCCCUGAGUGGGAAAGAUCUCCUGGAGCAGGAAAUGGCCACCCACUCCAGUAUUCAUGCCUGGAAAAUUCCAUGGACAGAGGAGCCUGGGGGCCCUCUGGGGCCAACAGGAUCACAAAGAUUUGGACACAGUUGAGCACAAGCACAGAGCUGAU
This is a long non-coding RNA of Dama dama (fallow deer), 1658 nucleotides long. RefSeq lists it as uncharacterized. The record is from RefSeq and is a predicted model, not a curated record. Lineage: Eukaryota; Metazoa; Chordata; Mammalia; Artiodactyla; Cervidae. The transcript has 3 exons.